Long non-coding RNA from Lotus japonicus, 10950 nucleotides. RefSeq lists it as uncharacterized. The transcript has 8 exons. Lineage: Eukaryota; Viridiplantae; Streptophyta; Magnoliopsida; Fabales; Fabaceae. The record is from RefSeq and is a predicted model, not a curated record.
CCACAUUGGUUAAGUUUGGGUGAGGAGAAGACUUUAUAAGAGAUGUGACUCAUAAACCUAAUGCCUUAAGGUUUUGGGUUAGGAUGUGGCGUCGAGAUCUCUUGGUGUCUUGCUCCUCGGCCCAUGGGUUCCCCUGUCUCCCCCAAAAAGUGGUAUCAGAGCCGAUGGUUGGUGUAGCCAUGGUUACGGCUCCAUCUGUCGAAAGUCUUCCUAGCAGUGUAGCUAAGCGGCGGGUUCCGUUGACGCGGUAAAGCGAACGGCGGUGCAAGAGUGGAUAAGCUUCCGCGGAGGAGGGCCAUGAUAAUGUGGAGGUGACUUGCACUUGAGGGGGAGAUUGUUAAUAAUUCAAGUGCGGAGUUGGAGUCCCACAUUGGUUAAGUUUGGGUGAGGAGAAGACUUUAUAAGAGAUGUGACUCAUAAACCUAAUGCCUUAAGGUUUUGGGUUAAGAUGUGGCGUCGAGAUCUCUUGGUGUCUUGCUCCUCAGCCCAUAGGCUCCCCUGUCUCUCCCAACAAGUGGUAUCAAAGCUGAUGGUUGGUGUAGCCAUGGUUACGGCUCCUUGUGUCGAAAGUCUUUCUAGCAGUGUAGCUAGGCGGCGGGUUCCGUUGACGCGGUGAAGCGAACGGUGGUGCAAGAGUGGAUAAGCUUCCGCGGAGGAGGGCCAUGAUAAUGUGGAGGUGACUCGCACUUGAGGGGGAGAUUGUUGAUAAUUCAAGUGCGGAGUUGGAGUCCCACAUUGGUUAAGUUUGGGUGAGGAGAAGACUUUAUAAGAGAUGUGACUCAUAAACCUAAUGCCUUAAGGUUUUGGGUUAAGAUGUGGCGUCGAGAUCUCUUGGUGUCUUGCUCCUCAGCCCAUGGGCUCCCUUGUCUCUCCCAACAAGUGGUAUCAAACUGAUGGUUGGUGUAGCCAUGGUUACGGCUCCUUGUGUCGAAAGUCUUCCUAGCAGUGUAGCUAGGCGGCGGGUUCCGUUGACGCGGUGAAGCGAACGGCGGUGUAAGAGUGGAUAAGCUUCCGCGGAGGAGGGCCAUGAUAAUGUGGAGGUGACUCGCACUUGAGGGGGAGAUUGUUGAUAAUUCAAGUGCGGAGUUGGAGUCCCACAUUGGUUAAGUUUGGGUGUGGAGAAGACUUUAUAAGAGAUGUGACCCAUAAACCUAAUGCCUUAAGGUUUUGGGUUAAGAUGUGGCGUCGAGAUCUCUUGGUGUCUUGCUCCUCGGCCUUGUCUCAUGGGUCCUCGUCGUGACUCUCCCCAACAAGUGGUAUCAGAGCCAAUGGUUUGUGGGACCAUGACGGCUCCUUGUGCCGAAAGUCUUGCUAGCAAUAGUGGCUAGGCGGCGUGUCCCGUUGAUGGAGAUCCAACGACGGUGCAAGUAAUUGGAGGUUUGCGCUUGAGAUGGACUCACACUUGAGGGGAGAUUGUUGGGAUGUCAAGUGUGAAUAAAGAAGUCCAACAUUGGAUGGUUAGAGGAGAGAUGAGCACUUUAUAAGUGAGAGGACCCAUACACCCAUUGCCUUAAGGUUUUGGGUUAAGAUGUGGUGUCCAAGAUCUCCUUGGUGUUUCCCCUCGACCUUGCCCCAUGGGUCCUUGCCGUGACUCUCCCCAACAAGUGGUAUCAGAGCCGAUGGUUCAUGAGACCAUGACGGCUCCUUGUGUCGAAAGUCUUCCUGGCAGUGUGGCUAGGCGGCGGGUUCCGUUGACGCAGUGAAGCGAACGGCGGUGUAAGAGUGGAUAAGCUUCCGCGGAGGAGGCCAUGACAAUGUGGUGGUUACUCGCACUUGAGGGGGAGAUUGUUGAGAAUUCAAGUGCGGAGUUAGAGUCCCACAUUGGUUAAGUUUGGGUGAGGAGAAGAGUUUAUAAGAGAUGUGACUCAUAAACCUAAUGCCUUAAGGCUUUGGGUUAAGAUGUGGCGUCGUGAUCUCUUGGUGUCUUGCUCCUCGGCCCAUGGGCUCUCCUGUCUCCCCCAACAUAAAUCGUGCUUCAAAUAGUGACUUUGAAUAAGAAAAUUUUGACACAACCUGAAAGUGGUAUUGCUAAGGGUCAAGAAAACUAAAUUUGCAACUUAUGUAUGACAGGCCAUCGAGAUGAAGUCUGGAUUGGUGCAACUUAUGUAUGACAAUCCAUUUUCCGGUUUGGACCAUGAGAAUCCGUACACGCAUUUGACAAAGUUCUAUGAUCUUUGUGGCACUGCUGGCCUUACACAAGCCGAGGAAGAAGCUGUGUUCUUGAGGCUCUUUCCUUUGACUCUGAAUGGGCAGGCCAAAGACUGGUACUUGGAUCAGUCGCAGACUAUCUAAUCUGAUUGGAAUGAACUUGAAAGGAAAUUCAUGGCAAGGUACUUCUCGGAAUUAAAAUUUAGGGAUUGUAAAACUGAUAUUUCUACUGUUUCCUAGUUUGAAGGUGAGAGCCUAUGUGAAGCUUGGGAGAGAUUUAAGUCUAUGUUGAGAAAGUGCCCGAAUCAUGGGUUUGAAGCGUCUCUUAUGGCUAAAACACCUACUGAAGCCAUUUAGAUUAUUGAGGCUGUGGCUCUAAACGACCAACAAGAUCAACACCACCGUGGUCCACCAAGGAGAGGUGGAAUGAUUGAGUUGGGGACAAAUGAUGCUAUCUUAGCUUAAAACAAGCAACUACAACAACAACUUGAUGAGGUGAAUAAAAAACUUGCUGAGCUUCCUAAGCAGAUCAAGGAAAUAAAAGAACCAUCAUCAAGGCAAAAGGUGAACAAGUGUGAUGUGUAUACGAAUGAUCAUUCAAUAGAGCAUUGUCAGCCACAAGAAGAGGAGGUCCACUAUGUAGGAAACCAGCCAAGGCAAGGGUUCCAGAACAACUACCCCAAGUGAGGUAACCGGUACAAUAACCAACCUUGGAGGCAAGACACAAGACCAUCUUCCAGCAGGGUACCACCAGCACCGUACCAAAAUAACAAUACAAGCAGAAUCAACAAUUUCAAAAACCAUCACAAGAUAGGACUUCCAAACGGGAGGAUACACUAACUCAAUUUAUGCAGGUUUCGAAAUCCAACCAGAAAAAUACUAAUACAUCCAUUAAAAACUUGGAAGUACAAGUUGGACAAAUGGCUAAACAGCUGAGUCAGCUGACUACUGAGCAGAAAGGUAAGUUCUAUGCCAAUACAGAAGACAAUCCUAGGGUGCAUUGCAAUGCAAUAUUCACAAGAAGUGGGAGAGUAGUUGGUGGAAAGGUUGGUGAUGCGGUUGAUGUGGAUGAAGAGAAAAAUGAGAGCCAUGAUCCAAAAGAGAGUGAAAAAGAGGAAGAAGUUGAAAAAGAAGAAGAAACUAAUAAAAGAGAGGAUGUAGAUAGAGAGGAAAAGAAAAAGAGUGAAAAAAAAGAGAGAAAAAAAAGAGAAUGAGGAAAUCAGAUGGAGUCCUCCUAUCCAACGCUUGCCAUAUCCUCCUAAUUCUAAGAAGAUUGAUCAUGAGAGGCAAAUGAGGAGGUUUAUUGACAUUUUCAGGCAUUUCAACAUCUCCAUGCCAUUUUCUGAAGCAUUGGAGCAAAUUCCCUCAUAUGGAAAGUACAUGAAAGAGCUUCUAUAGAAAAAGGACAGGUUGAAGGCACUGCAUGAAGAUGAGGUGAUCCAGCUCAAUGGACAUUGUAGUGCAAUUCUGCAACGCUUACCACCUCCAAAGCAUAGAAGUUCCAGGAGUCUUGUCUUGCCGGUUAAACUUGACAACAAUCAAUUAUGUAAUGCACUGAUAGACUCUGGGCUACAUUAAUUUAAUGUCUCUUUCCUUGUUGAAAAGGUUGGGAGAUGUGGAAGUAGAGCCUACAGGGAUGACGCUGCAACUAGCUGAUAAAUCAGUAAAAUUACCUCAAGGAGUUGCAGAGAAUGUGAGUGUGAUGGUGGAGCAGCUGAAUUUCCCAAUAGACUUUGUGGUUGUAGAUGUUCCUGAAGACAAAGAGGUCCCAAUAAUUUUAGGGAUGCCAUUCAUUAUCACUGCUAGGAUAGCAUUUGAUGUAGAUAUUGGGAUCCUGAAGGUGAGACAAGGUGAAGAUGAGGUACAUCUUACUGUUUUUAGUGAUAAUCAUCACUGACAAAGCAAAGGUAUGGUUUAUUUAAUUCAAAAUGUUGGUUUUGAUUUGGAAAAAUUAUUUGAUGAGCAUGAUCCAUCAUCAUCUUCAAUUGAUACAUCAAAUCACUUGUCUGAGCUUGAAAAUGCAAAAACUAAACAUUCUAAAAAUAAAAACUGUGAUUAGGGAAGAAAGGAAGGAUAAGAAAGAAGAAAAAGUUUUCUAAGAUGUGGAAGGUUGUGACUACGUGUCAAAAGUGCUUCAAAGAACUUCUGAAAAAGGAGAAGGAACCAAAGAGGAAGAAGGGAACCAUUCUCUCCUCUUGUCUUUGGUCUCCUUGAUAAAUUGAAUUUCAAAGUGUCAAGCAAUUGACGUUAAAAAAGCGCUUCCUGGGAGGCAACCCAGUGUUUUAAUGUGAUUUUCUUGUUCUUAUGUGUUUUAGACUUUUAGUAAGUUUUAGUGCGAAUUUGUGAAGUUGUGCUUAAAUUUGUAUACUUAUGUGCUUCACAAGUUUAAUUUAGUGUUUUGAGUGUGUUCAAAGGCUUGGAAAUCAAUGCUUUGUUGGAUUUGUAAAAGAUAGGGUUGUGAUUUUUUUUUUCAUGUGAACUUGAGUAAAUUGUGCAUCCUGUGAUUUUAUGUGUAAAACCUGAGUUUCAAAGUUGUAACAGGCCUAAUUUGAUACAUACCAUGCAUAGGAAUGGAUGGUUUUUUAGGUUUGUGUGUUUUGAGAAAAUGGAGGUAUGUAGUAGUGUGCUCAUGAUGAAAAACAAGUCCCCCUAGGUGAUUUCCUGCAUAAACUGUACAAAAUUGCUUUCCGUAGCUUUUAAGCAAACUCAUGUUUGAAUUUUAAUGUUAUUUUUCAAAUAUUAGAAUAAAUUCCAAUGUGAACUUUUUGGCUUUGAAGUGGAAAUGCAUUAAGACUGCUUAUUGUGUAGUUUUCUUGUGGGGAUGGGCUUCAACUGUGUAGUUUAAGGCCUCUCACAAGUUUAAAAUGAUAUGAAUGAUGAGUCUGAGGACUUAGAAAGCCUGAAAAAUGAGAAAAUAAGAAAUUGAGGUGUUGGGUUGUAAAAAUAACAAAACUGUGUAAGGGGGAUGAGUUAGAAUGUGAAAUAAGAAUCUUGUGUCUCUUUUCAUGAUUUUAGUCUUCAUACAAGUUUCUUAGAUGAUAAGUAAGUGGUUUACCUUCUUAGGAAGCUUUGAGAAUGAAUGAAUCAAAAUUUGAGGUAUCCACUUGUGCAAAUAGUCAAAAUGAAUGCUAAAUUGAAUUCAUGUUCUUUGAAGAUUAACAUGUGAAAUUUAAGUGAUUCACAGGUUUAAAUUGCAGAUAUAAAUGUCUCAUUAUGAUUGAAAAGAAAGGAAGAAGAGACAUACAAAUUUUGGAGGUUAGACUUGUGAAUUUUGGCAAGAUUUGACAGUAUUUUGCUGCAUAAUUACAGGUACUUUGCAGCAAGUCUUUGGCAAGACUUGUGAAUUUUUGGCAAGAUUUGACAGUAUUUGGCCAGCUCAAAGUCUUUUGCAGCAAUAAUUUCCUCCCUGGCCGCCACCUCUAGCAGAGUUUUCUGUUUUUGUGCCUCUAAAUCGUUUCUGGUCUGGGUGGUUUCUUGUCCCAACUUAGUCAGCUUCUCUUCAAAAGUGGCCUCUUGGGCUGACAGUUGGGUUUCCAGCGCCUUGCACCUUUCAUCCCGCUCGGAGUGGGCGGCGUGAAGCCGGAUAAUCUCUCGUUGCAGCUCUACAACAUCUUUGGUGGCAGAAUUGUAUGUUUUAAAUGCGUGACCACAGAUACUCCCCGCAUACAGGAGGCUCGCCAUGGCUUCAUCAGCCAUGUGGUCCAGAUCUUUGCUCAGCACCUCCUCUUCUAACUUCUCGUGGCGAACUUGUAAGAGGAUAAAGGCAAUAGGAUCUUCGAUAUCCUCAAAGGCAGGGGGCGAGAAGGACCAUCUUGCUCGCCCUCAGAGCGAGAGGUUUGCUGAGGGUCAUUGGCGUUCUGGGAGACAACGAGGGUCGUAGGAACUCCCGUGAUGAUGGAUCAGCUUAGCGGAGGGGAGAGACCGGCAGGACGUCAGCCUCGCCCUGGGAAAGGAUGGUUUUCCUUUCUGCGUCGGGCGUGAGGUCUGAGUAGGGACCUUGACUCAUUUUGGAGAAGGGACGGCGAUCCCAGACCUGGCGGAUUGGCCAAAAAUAAGGGGGGACUUCUUUUUCGGCGGUGGGCGAGGAAUCUCACUGUUAGGGUCCUGUGAAGGACGCUUCCUUGGGCUAGUUUUCUUCUUCCCGCCCGUGGCGUCAAACUAGGGUGGAAGGGAGUAGUUUUCUUACGUUAAAAGGCAUUGGAAAGCUCAGCGCUCGUGAACUUCAGGUCCUCUGAAAAGAGAUAUGCCAACAAGGUUAAAAUAGGUGGUGCGAAUGAAAAAUGACAAAAUUAAGGAGCAGAGAGCGAGAGAUUUAACAACCUGGAUACUUGGGAGUCAGCGAAUUUUUGGCGGCGUCAAUAACCUUACCACAAUCCAGAAUGGGGAUUCUAGCGAAGAAGCUGAUGAUAAUCUUGUCAGUGUCGGUGAGAGAGUCCUCUAGCGGGUUAGCGAUGUUGUUGGGAUCUUCCUUCUAGUAAAAAGGAAAGAGGGUGGUCCCGUCCCUCUGGGUGAAAACCGCGGGGUAGUCAUGGGUCACCCGAUCAUGAAAUACCUCCGGGCAAAGCUGGAUUUAGCAUUGCACAUGAACGGGUUGAGCCGUUUGCGGCUGGGCCUGGCCUUCAAGGAAAUCCAGCUGCGUGACUGCAAGGACUUGGCGUCCACGUCGUAGAAAUAGAAGAAGUGAGUAGGCAAAGGCUCGCACUAGAUGGCGUCCAUGCAUUGGGGUGCAACUGGCAGGGAGCGACAUUUAUGUCAUUCAGAAUGGAGCAAUAGAACGGGGAGAAAGGGAGUUUUAUUUCCAACUCGGUGAACAAGUAAUCACAGACGAAGAAGAAGUCGGAAUUGCAGGGCUCGCCCGUCGGCUGAUGUCGCUGGGGCGAUCGUUGUUUGAGCAGCCAAUGUAGACAAGGAUAUUAUCCGGGGAGACCUCACGACAAAAAGCCCCCGAUCUCCGAGGAGAGUUCCGAAACGGAAAGGAGGUCCACGUACUCAGAGGGUUGGUCGAUAGCUUCUUGAGGGGGGCGGGGGCGUUUUGGCGACAAGAGGAAGAGUAGCGGAGGUUCUAAGCCGAAACGCCGUUAUCUGGGAUGCCGCCAGAGGGACCCCGUCGGGAUGGGGAGGUCCAGUUGGCAUCUUAGGCGUUGGAACUCGUCCCGGAGGAGAAGUGGGGGGGUCUCGACGAGAAGAGUUCCUGGUUUGGCGUUUGGAGACCACCAUUGGAGAAAAUAAGGACGAAUGGGGACUAUCAAUAACGGGCACUAUGGACGAAGUAGGGAGUUCGCCAGGAAAGGAGGUAAACAGAGGGUAGCCAAAUGAGUGGUAAGUGACGGUGCGGGAGUGUUGGUAGGUCGGGGAUCCUUUGGAAGAGAUUGGGGAUGAGAAAAGUGGAGGUUUCGAAAGUUGCAAGUGAUGGAAAAUGAGGGUCUUUAUAGGCAAAGGGCUGGUGAUGGCAUAGGACGCGUGUAGAUUUUGAGCGGUGUUUCGAGCGGUCGUUUCACUGCGUAUAGGGGAUGGUGAGUUGCACCUCAUGAUGACAGGAGGGAAUGAUUCCCUUGGGAAAAGUAAACGACAUAACCUUGGGGGGCGUUGUAAGCGCGGGGUUGGUUCGAAUUCUGCCUUUAUGACGUGAGGUGACGCUUUGAAUAUAGCAGUUGAGAUUUCAAAGAUACGCUGACCUAUCCGCUUUCGCUGACGUGUCAACGCACUAGGCGACCAAAAUCACCACGAUCGCCUUUCAAGCGUGGCGACCAAACACUCCACAACCGCCGUCCGUGGACUCGUGGACUUGUGGACUUGUGAAAUUUUACUGCUCUUUACGCCAUGUUGGCGACUUAAAUAUUUUUGCACUAAGCGCUUCAGUUAGCCAUUUUGAUCCUUAAAGACACACUUAGCUCUCAUGCUUCGUGCUCAGUGUCUUGUGGACUGGUGGACUGAGCGAGCGCCUAGGGGACCUAUGCCCAGGGGUUACCCACCAAGCGGAGGUCGCCCAGCCUGGGAAUUGGGCCUCCUCACGCAAGGCCCAACUGGCCCAGCAGAUGCAGUUAUGAUGCGCUAGGCCCAACUCCCCUAUUAUAAACAAGGAGUGAUUAUCAUUUGUAAGGGCCUCUUAACUCAUUUGAUCAAUACACACUUGAAAUUCAGUUAUUUUCUCUCUCUUGAGAGGUUAUUCUCUCUCUUAGUGCAAUCUCUCUACUAUAGGUACUAUACCCUAUCUUAAUUUUCAAGGCAAGAACAGAAAACACAAUCAAACAGAUCCUUAGUUUACAAAAACUUUCCAUUUUCACAAGUGAUCGUUCAUCCGAGAAGUUUCCAGGAAAGUGAGGUGUUCUCCACAAAGAUGUGCUUAAAUACUAAAAUGUUCCUAGAUAGAACAACCUGUGAAUUCUCAUCACAAGAUCAAUAAAAAAAUCCGACCAUAUAUUUCUAAAUCUUUUUUUGUAUUUUUCUAUGUGUUGGUUAACUACGGUUUUAGUUCUGAGGCAGUUUGAGUUUAGAUUUUACUAUACCUGAACAUUUCCAAGACAAACCCGGAGGCUACAGAACUGCUGAGACAAACACAAGCCCUCCUGCUCUGCUAUAGAAAUCUACAGAGGAAUAGAGGAUGGAUCACGAAAUCGCUGAUGAUGAGCUGCUAGGUCCCUGUAGAAUAGGAUGAAUCCCUGUGAUUGUCUCUUGACUGGGUGAAGUUGGGGAGAGCGUUGUAUGUUCACUUUGGUCCAUCAAAAAUUCACAUGGUUUGAGGAGCUCCAAUUCAAAGCCAACUAUUCUUGUUCUUUUACCAGAUUUCUAAUUCUUUUCCACUUGUCAUUUUGAGGGUUAUUGUUUUUCCUCUGUAACCAAAAAAAACAUUGCAGGUAAUUGAAUAUUCCAUGAUGAGCUACACAUGAAAGCUUGUUUUUUUCAGGUUCUGGUUCAUAAAGGUGUAUUGUUCGUGUUCUUGCCGUUUUUGUUCCACCAAAGUUGCUACUUGGCUCGGUGCUCGCGUCGUUCAUCCCCAAUUUUCCAACAAUCUUGAGAGUUUUAUUCGAGAAUUAGUGGGUACAACGCCAACACUGAGAAAUCAAACACCAAUGAAAAUGGAGCACUGCAGCAUCAUGCUUUCCUUUUUUCACUAUCACACACAGAGAUGGUGAUCUGGCAAGAUAUGCAGCAAAUAAGGUUGGUACGUAAGAGAUUGUUUCUCCUUCAACACACUUCAUGAACCUAUCAUUGUCGAUAAUUAUUUCAAUUGGGCUCUUCUCUUACCAAUGCCAUCGCUCAUCAUUGGGUUGCACUCUUUCCUGUGCGGAAUCGUUUAUAUUCCUCACAGCGUUCAGACUGUUUAUUUCCCUUAUGUUCCACACUUCCACUAUCUUAGCAUACAAUUUUGAAGCAUCAGGUGUUCCCCCUUGCAAUUGCCGGAUUCUAGGCUUAUGGGAACCAGCCAUUAAAAAACCUCCAGCAAGCAACUGGUGCAAUACAUUGUGCAACUAUUGGCAAAAGAUUUAGGAAUGAUUUCAUGUUUUCAGUUGAGGUACUGAUUUGAGUUUAAAUAUUUUUUUGUAGUUUUUUAUAUGAAAAUGUUAGGGGUAUGUGGCUAAGUGAUUUUGAUGCACUGGAUUGUGCUUCGCAUUGCAUCUGAAUGUUCAUGUGAGAGAAUUGUUGAGGUGGGCUUAGUUGGAGUGGGAAGAUUGUUCUCUUAUAUGAAGAUGAGAUUUUGGGCUGUUUUGAGAAACACUGUUUGGGGAAUGGUAUAUCUAAGAGACACUUUUUUUGGAAUUUUAAAUGGCAACAUCUAAUCUGUAAUUAAAAAUUUUCAUUGCCUUCUUUGUGUAGCCCAUGCUAUCAUAUCAUAUAUAAGCUUGACUCACUGUGUAUGGAGUUGCAGCACCAAAAUAAAAUGUUUUUUUGGUAGGGGCUAAAAUAAAAUGAUGAUGGCAUAUUUCUUUUGCAGCACUCCAUCUGAAACUAAUUGUGUAAAGUGUAGUAUUUCCAAAUGUGAGAUGCCACAAAAUAUUUUGUCUUUGAUGCAUGCAGAAAAAAAUUACAUUUUAUGUACGAAAAGUGUUCUGUUAUUAACUAUGCAGCUGAAUCAAUGCAACCAAUCCCCCUCCCAUGAAGCUGAAAUUUAUUAGAUAGAAAAUAUGAUAGUUUGACAAGGUCCUAAACAAGAUCACACUUCUAUGAAAGCAAAUAUUGAACCCUACUGAAACUGCCGUAUUUGUUGUGCAAUGAUAAAGCUUUUCAUCUUUGGGCUAUGGUUUGUCUUUUAGGUGACUUUUUUGUACCCAACUUGGUGAAUCAGAACUAUAUCAUUAGAUGAACACGGUAUCAUUGGUACAGGGGAAAAGAUACAAUUUUGAAAGAGUUAUUACAAACACUUUGUUUUUUAAUAGUCUUGGUCCUUGAAUUUUCAUAAACAUGCAUCUUGAAUUUCUAUUGUAGUUGAAGAAGACUCAUUGAGGAAAGGGUUGAAUGAGUGGCUCCUGAAGUUUGCUGAAUUUUCUAUAUGCUUAGCAAAGUUUCUUUAUGGGUAGUUGGAGUAACUCAUGCUCACCUUUAAUCAACUUAUCUUUCGGCCUACAUGCAUUAGCUUUAGGAUUUGGACUAUAUAAAUUUGGAUUCGUUUGCAUGUUGAUAUAAUAUAACUUACCAUAUGCUUCUCAGCUCUCUGGAAAGACAGGGGGCAUAUCACUUAUAUAUGAUAUCCAUAGGUUUUAUAAGAAACCAAGAGGGCUAUGCUAUGCAUAGAUUUUCUACACAAGCUUUUGCAAAAUUCCCACUCUAUUUUUAUCUUUAAAAUUGAUUAUGAACUAUAAUUUU